This 1061-nucleotide long non-coding RNA is filed under the name Homo sapiens (human). Its description in RNAcentral is "HSALNT0243539". The record is from RNAcentral. Lineage: Eukaryota; Metazoa; Chordata; Mammalia; Primates; Hominidae.
UUAGUUUAAUUUCACCAAUAAAAGUAUGGUUAUUAUAAAUCUGUAAUUAUAUACUUAUGUAGGAAUAUGAAAGGCACAUUCCAUAUAUUUAUUAGCAUAACAUUGCUAGUGGUCUGCUUUAUUCAACAUUCUUUCACUCAUUAAGUAUUUACUGGGCACCUUGUAUGUGCCAGGUAUUAGCCUAGAUUCACUGUUGAACAAAGCACACAUAUUCUUUGCCCUUUUUGAAUCUAUAAUUUAGUGGAGAAAAUAGGAAAUAAACAAAAAAGCAUAUAAUAGAUAGUAAGAAGUAAUUUGGAGGAAAAGCAGAGUAAAACAGAACAAGACACCACAUAUGUACUAUUUUAGAUGUAUGGUCAGAUAAGAUACUACUGAGGAGAUAGCAUAUGGGAAAACUCCUACAUAACAUAGAAUAUGAGCUAUGUAGUUAAAUGAGGGAAGAGUGUUUCAGGCAGUGCAAAGACCCUGAGGGAGUAUUUUGCUUUUACAUGUUUGAGGAACAUUAAGGUGACUGAUGCUGCUGGAAUGCUUUGUGUGAGCCACCGUGCCUGGCCCGGGAAUAUUUAGAAGAGAGUGAUCAUCUCUAUCAAAUACUUCGAUACAUUAAGGUGAAAACUGAGACAGGCUAUUGGAUGUGACCAAAUAGAAGUUGGUGGUCACCUUGAUAGGCAGUUUCAGUCAAUCUGAUUGGAGUGGGUUCACAAAAGAACGGGAUGAGAAGCAAACUUAGACAAUUUUCUGGGGACUUUUGCUGUAAAUAGCAGAGAAAUUGCAUAAUAGGGUUAAAAGAGAGGUUUAUUAUUAUUUUAUUAAAGGUGCAUUGGGAGUGAUCCUAUAGAAAGGAAUUUUUUUUAAUUGACAGAUAUGGCUUAUGGCUGUAAUCCCAGCAUUUGGGAGGCUGAGGCAGGCAGAUCAUUUGAGCCCAGGAGUUCAAGACCAGCCUGGUGAACAUGGCAAAACCCAUCUCUACUAAAAAUACAAAAAUUAGCUGGGUGUGGUAGCAUGCACCUGUAGUCUCAGCUACUUGGGAGGCUGAGGUGGGAGUAUAGCUUGAACCUAGG